RNAcentral lists this ribosomal RNA (490 nucleotides) under uncultured bacterium. RNAcentral describes it as "bacterial SSU rRNA". It matches the Rfam family "Bacterial small subunit ribosomal RNA", at positions 1033 to 1529 of the family's 1533-position model. The record is from RNAcentral.
GACAGGUGGUGCAUGGUUGUCGUCAGCUCGUGUCGUGAGAUGUUGGGUUAAGUCCCGCAACGAGCGCAACCCUUACAUUUAGUUGCUACGCAAGAGCACUCUAGAUGGACUGCCGUUGACAAAACGGAGGAGGGUGGGGAUGACGUCAAAUCAUCAUGCCCCUUAUGACCUGGGCUACACACGUACUACAAUGGCUAUUAACAGAGGGAAGCAAAACAGUGAUGUGGAGCAAACCCCUAAAAAUAGUCUCAGUUCGGAUUGUAGGCUGCAACUCGCCUACAUGAAGCCGGAAUUGCUAGUAAUCGCGGAUCAGCAUGCCGCGGUGAAUACGUUCCCGGGCCUUGUACACACCGCCCGUCACACCAUGAGAGUUGGCAACACCCGAAGUCAGUAGUCUAACCGCAAGGAGGACGCUGCCGAAGGUGGGGUUGAUGAUUAGGGUGAAGUCGUAACAAGGUAGCCGUAUCGGAAGGUGCGGCUGGAUCACCUC